This 263-nucleotide ribosomal RNA is filed under the name uncultured bacterium. Its description in RNAcentral is "partial 16S ribosomal RNA". It matches the Rfam family "Bacterial small subunit ribosomal RNA", at positions 793 to 1055 of the family's 1533-position model. The record is from RNAcentral.
GUCCUAGCCGUAAACGGUGAUCACUAGGUGUUGGAGGCAUCGACCCCUCCAGUGCCGCAGCUAACGCAUUAAGUGAUCCGCCUGGGUAGUACGGCCGCAAGGUUGAAACUCAAAGGAAUUGACGGGGGCCCGCACAAGCGGUGGAGCAUGUGGUUUAAUUCGACGCAACGCGAAGAACCUUACCCAGGCUUGACAUGCACUAGACGGGUGUGGAAACACACCUUCCCUUCGGGGCUGGUGCACAGGUGCUGCAUGGCUGUCGU